UUCAAAACAAACUACCUAAUCUUAUCUUGUCCCCUCCCUUUUGUCACCAACCUUAAGAAGGGAUUAAUUUUGUGUGACAAAGCAGAAGUUUUUUACCAUGGAAAAAUUUUGGGAGAGGCCGAACUGCAAUAAGGGGUGUGAGGUCUUUAGGGUGGGCAUCCAUCUUGGCUUGUGAGAUUAGAGGAGAACUAUCUCCUCUUUGGGUGAGUGAUCUAGGGUUUUUGAUGAGUGAAAAAUAAAGAGAAAAGAAAAGUUCUCCUCCUUCCUUCCACCACCACUUCAUCCUUUUAAUCCAUCUUUUUCUUCGAAAGAGUGCAUGAAAUUUGAAAUGGGGCAC
RNAcentral lists this long non-coding RNA (337 nucleotides) under Elaeis guineensis (African oil palm). Its description in RNAcentral is "long non-coding RNA (EGUI_LNC033758)". The record is from RNAcentral. Lineage: Eukaryota; Viridiplantae; Streptophyta; Magnoliopsida; Arecales; Arecaceae.